AUUGAAAUAAAUGCAGUCCCCAAGAAUAGAAUAUUCAGUAAGUAAUAUAUUUUCUUUUUGUUACAGUAUCUGAUGUGCCACAAGACAAUCUUCAAGCGUUGCCAUUGUAGAAGUUGAUAGGAAAUCAUUGUCGUGUCUGUAGAUACAAAUAUGGCACGAGGUUGGGAAGAACUAUCCAUGAAAAUAGGAAAAGUGAUUCCCCGUCCUACACCAUCGACGAUCCUGCGGGUAUUGAAAAACGUAACGUCAUCAACGAGGUCGCACCAACCGAUGCAUAGUAACUUGUGGAAGUUGUCCCUACACCGUUAGCAUUUCCCGUCCCGGAUGUCCCACCACGGGAUGUUACGCAGGGACACCUCUACUAUGCUUAUCUACAGCCUUUCCAAUGAAGAUGCGGAGAUAGUGUUUACUCUGAGGUCGCUAGCUCAAGCCAGUAUUAUUUUUGUUGUGGCUCUGGCGAUUAUAAUUACCAAUGUCCUCAUUAUUGCAACUUUAAUCAAUUUCAGAGGACCCUCGGAGGUUAUAAAUUAUUACUUGCUUUCCUUAGCCGUAGCCGAUUUACUAUGUGGCCUUCUAGUUGUACCGUUAUCAGUGUAUCCAGCAGUAGUGAACGACUGGGUGUACGGGGAAGUCAUCUGCCGACUGAUAGGCUACGUGGAAGUAACCCUUUGGGCCGUCACUGUGUACACCUUUAUGUGGAUUAGUGUAGAUCGAUAUUUGGCGGUCAGAAAACCGUUGCGGUACGAGACGCUCCAAACGAAAACCAGGUGCCAAUGUUGGAUGGCCUUUACCUGGAUAUCCGCUGCAAUGCUGUGCUGUCCUCCCCUCCUCGGUUUCACGGAGUCCUCGUUCGACCCCGACGCUUACAUCUGCAUGCUCAACUGGGGCAGCAUGGCUGCCUACAGCAUCACCCUCUCCAUCCUCAUCUUAGGCCCCAGCCUGAUCACGAUCGUCUACACCUACACCUACAUAUUCAGCAUGCUACGAAAAAUUAGAAGCGGUUACCCCUUUCACGACAAGGAGUACGCCACUGCACUUUCGGAGAACUUGUCGAAUCCCAGCCACUUGAUGUCGUUCACUUUGGUGGUGACGUUCUGGCUGUCGUGGAUUCCGUAUAUUGGAUUAAAACUGUACGAGUACUUUACUGCUCCGUUGGAAAAUCAACAGGUCCUCCACUUCGGUAUCGUAUGGUUGGGUUUUCUCAACUCCUUCUGGAAAUCUGUGAUCCUGAUCACCAUGAGUCCGCAGUUCAGGCUGGCCCUUAGAAUCUUCUGCAUGACGAUCUGCUGCAGAUAUAAGGGCCGCCUUCAAGCCGAGCUCAUCGGAAUGGACGACGACUGACUACUCCGAUGCUUUCCCGCCCUACACGCAAACUUUCCUAUUACGGGCAUUGCUGUGAGAGACUAUGAAUAUUUUAUAGGUAAAAUAAGAAGAUAUUGGUGCCAAUUUUCGCGACAUGGACAUUUUGAGCGAUGACUUGUUUCGGAAAUAUGUAAAUGUGAUUAUUUUUUAGUAUGAAUAGAUGGACGCGCGUCUUUUAUUGAAUCGUUCAAGUCAAUUAUAAUAGGUGUAGGUUUAACACUAUGCCCCGUUGCUCUAGCGGGACGAAUCGAAUGAUUUUUAACCCCUCUUAAACCGACAACCUUAACGUAAGCCUUCGUCAGAAUUUCCCACUCACUUCAUGCUUGAGGAUGAACUUUGAGAACGCUUUCAAAAAAUCAUGAGAAGCCUUAUUAGGUAUUUUAAAGAGUUAGCUGUUUCGUGUAGCUUUAUUAAAAGAUCUUAGCAAGACGAAUAUUCAGUGCUCAAAGUAAUCAGAACAUUUUGUUUCACAUCAUAAAUAAAAAUGUAUAAAACGUGUAUUAGUAAAGGAACCAAAAAUAACGACACAAUAAUACAAAAGUCUAAUUAAGGUAAUGCGGGUGUUCAAUCAUCUCACUUACAGAAUUCAACAAGCCAUUAAUAUUAAUAUUAUUUGUAAGCUUUGAGAAAAACGAAAAAUCUGCAGAAAAAAGUAAAGAGAACAUCUUGACAAACAGUUGAAAAUAAUAGGAGAAUCGUACAUAAACAAGAAAAUAAGAAAUUUCUACCAAGAAAUAAAAAAAUCCCGAGGAACUGAAAAGAGUACAACAAGUUAUUACUGGAGAAGUAAAGACGGUGUGCUUUUAGGAGAAACAACAGGAAAAUUAAACAGAUGGGUAAAGUAUUUUGAAGAACUAUUGAAUGUAAAUAAACAAGCAGAACCACAGGAAAUAAAACAAAAGCAAAAAGAUAGCACAGACCAAAAACAGGAAGAAGAACUAACACUACAAGAAGUAAAAGAAGCAAUAUUUGAGAAAAAAAAAUAAAAAAAGGGCAAGAGAAAGCGGAAUUUCGGCAGAGAUUUUUAAAACAGGUGGAGAAAAGCUGCAAGAAAAAAUUUUCCGACUAAUAUUAACAGUCUGGCAAAAAGAGGAAAUGCCGCAACAAUGGAACAAUGCACUUAUCUGUCCAAUCUACAAAAAGGUGAUGAAAUAAAUUUCAAAAAUUAUAGAGGAAUAUCGCUAUAUUAGAAGUGUCCUUCAAAAUACUUGCCAAAAUCAUCCGAAAUAGAUUUAAAAAGGAGGUAAACAAGAUCAUUUAAGAAUAUCAAGGAAAAACUCAAUACAUGGUAAUGAAAGGAGGUAUAACGAAAGAGGAUAACUAUAUAAAAAUUAAAGAAGAGGAUGACUCUAAAUUUAAGGAAGUAUCAGAAUUCGAAUACCUGUGAGUGACUGUAACUAAUAUUGGAAGGGAAGGAAAAGAAAUAGAUAAAGGAUUAUUGAAGGGAAGUCGAGCUGUUGAUUCCUAAAACACGGUAUUAAAAGCAAAAAAUGAAUCAAGAAAUGCGAAAAUCAGAAUUAUAUGAAACGAUAGUACGAUCCACAGUGUUGUAUGCGAUUUAAACGUGGGUAAUGAAUCAACAAGAGGAGAAAAUAUACAAUAUGGGAAAGAAAGGUCUGAGAAAUAUUUUUGGAGGUAUACAGAUAGCGGAGAAAACCUGGAGGAGACGAACAAAUGAAGAAGUAAUGAGUAUGUGGGAGACCAAAAAUAAGAGCCAAAAGAGCUAGAUCGCUGGGACAAGUAGAAUCGUGAAACGAAUAUUGAAUGACAGAGAAUUGGAAAAAAGGAGAAGGACACGAGGACGUCCAAGGAGGAGAUGGUUAAAGGCUGCAGUGAGUGAUUUAGUAGAAAUCGGGGCGAAGGACUGGAGAAAGAGUGCAGAGAACCGAAAAUAAUGGAGGAGAAAUAUCAUCCAGAAUUUGGAAGCCGUAAAGCUACAAGGUCUACCUUCGUAGAGUAACAUAUACAAUUAUCGGCAAAACAAAAUGAAGAAACUGGAAAUCUCACCUAAAACUGUAAAAAAUAGAAAAAAAGAAGUAAUUCGCAUUACAAAAUGGAUAAAAAAAAAGGAUAAUAAACUGCAUCAUGCGAGAGAUCAUACAGGAUUAAAAGAUACCUAUUUUCAGACAAAUCUAAAAACUAAUAAAAUGUUUUAUUAUUUUGAGCAUUAUAUUUGUAACAUAACUACUGUAGUAAGCAUUUAACAUAUUUAAGCUAAUCUUAUAUAGAGCUGAUGCUCAUUAUUAUCACGAUUGAGCCUUUGCUUCAUCACAAUCGUAGCAUGGACAACAUUAUGGGAUUCUUGCGAAUGUUUACGUUAGGGCUCUAUAAGAUCUCUGUUAUUGUUACAGUGAAAAAAUUUUAACGUAUUCAUUAUUUGUUAUGACAUUCCUCUAGAUGGACUCUAAGACAUAACACAGCAAAUCUGUCAAGUAUUUAAAUAUUGAUUUAUUAAACGUUAAACAUUUUUUUAAAACUGUUGAUUUAUGGUAUCCCGGUUUUUCUGAAAAAUACACAAGUUUCAAAAUAAGUUAUUGUUAUUAAAUGAUGCUACUAUUCAGUUUAGAAGACCUUUUCAAAAGAAAAUUGUUUUGAAAACUACCUUCUUUUUUUAAGUUAAACACAAAACAAAAGAUUAUUUAUAGCUGGGAUCCCACGGAGAGUGAUGUGGCGCUCUUCGCCAGUUUACGCCGGCAAAGUGAAAUAGAAAAUUAGUCCAUGUGGUGAGACCGCUCCCGUCUGGAAAACAUUUCUAAUUCGGUUUCUCUGCGGAUUCAUAUUCAAAAAUGUCCCCUUUAAACAAAUCUGAAGGGUGCCGCACGGAACUUUGGGCAGAAAUUGUUUAAACAUUUUUUUUUAAACAAAUACAUAAGAUCGCCUUUUAUUGCUCAAAAAAAUAUAUUUUAAAAUUUCUUGGGUCAUUCUAAACAAGAAAGGUAGCUUGUGAUUUUUCUCAAAAAUUGACAGUUUUCGAGUUAUAGGCGAUUUAAAAUCUAAAAAAUGCGAAAAUCCCCAUUUUCGAGGCUUAAAAACUCAUAUUUAAAUUAGUAUUUUUAAGGGUGCCAAUAAUUUGGAUUAAAGUUUAUACAUUCCUUUUCAAGAUUCCGAAGAGUGAUCGGGUCUAACUUCAAUUUAGACCGUAGUUUUUUAAUUGUUAAUUAUGCGUGUCCAUCCGGUUUUUUGCCGUUGCGGCGCGCACCAUUUUCAAAAAUCUCCUAUUUUCCUCCAAAAAAUAUUUUUUCUAGAUUCUUUGGGACAUUCUAAAUAAAAUAAGUUUCUUUACAUUUUUCUCAAAAGUUAAUAGUUUUAAAGUUAUAAGCGAUUUAAAAUCCGAAAAAUUACAAAAAAAACACAUUUUCGCAUUUUAUAUCGCUUAUAACUUUAAAACUAGUAACUUUUGAGAAAAAUGUCAAGAAACUUACUUUAUUUAGAAUGUCCUUAAGAAUCUAGAAAAAUAUUUUUCGGAGGAAAAUAGGAUAUUUUUGAAAAUAUCGGAAUCUUGAAAAGGAAUGUUUAAACUUUAAUCCAAGUUAUUGGCACGCUUAAAAAUACUAAUUUAAAUAUGAGCUUGUAAGCGUCGAAAAUGCGUAUUUUCGCAUUUUUUAGAUUUUAAAUCGCCUAUAACUCGAAAAAUGUCAAUUUUUGAGAAAAAUCACAAGAUACCUUUCUUGUUUAGAAUGACCCAAAAAACCUAAAAAUUUAUUUUUUGGAGCAAUAAAAGGUGAUCUUAUGUAUUUGUUUAAAAAAAUUGUUUAAACAAUUUCUGCUCAAAAAUUCUGUCCGGCACCCUUCAGAUUUGUUUAAUGGGGACAUUUUUGAAUAUGAAUCCGCAGAGAAACCGAAUUAGAAAUAUUUUUCAGACAGGGCUGUCUCACCACAUGGACUAAAUAGAUAAUAGUGAAAAGAAAAAUAUUUACUUAAAUAAAUUCGGUCGUAGCUUUCCGAUGGACCGUGUCCCCCUGAGUAUCGAAGGUACACUAACCAGUGUUGGCGGUAGAAAUUUUAGAAAGUUGGUUAAUUCAUAUAAUGAUAAAAAGUCCAACACAACAUCGUUAGACCACUCCAUAGAUCAGGUCAAAAUCUUAAAGGGAGUGAGACAGGGAUGCAUCAUUUCAUCGCUAAUAUUCAAUCUGUACUUAGAGCACAUUCUUGAAGAGUCUCUAAAAUAUAUUGAUGAAGGCAUCUCAAUAAAUGGAGUCAAGCUCAAUAACCUGCGGUAUGCAGAUGAUACAAUAGUGUUUUCCAAUAUCAUAGAAGAGCUUGUUACAGCAAAAUAUAGAUAGAGGGAUGAUACUGAAUAAAUAAAGUGAAAACUAUUUUAUCUAUUAAAUUAUGAAUAUAUAUUAUAAUAUAAAUUACAAAAUUCAGUUAAUCUCUCUUUGCCUUAUCUCAGGGAUUUAUUAUGGGUUAGUAGAAGGUGAUCCGGUUAUUUCUGAGCAUUAAAUCAACCCAUAGCUUUAAAGAUUUAUUUAAUAUAAACUAUAAAAUAUAACAUAAAAUGGGGAAUUGAAUUAAAAAUAUAAGAACAAUGUAAUGACUAUUGAAUGGAAUGUAAUGACUAUUGAAAUAGAAAAUAUUGUUAAGACCUAAACAGACCCUAACUUAUGACAUUUAUACACCCUAAUACCUAGAAAUAUGGAGAUUAUAAAUAUAUUCGACUAUAAUUGAUCAAUAAAGUACACCCUGGGAGUCAAAAGUGCCUACGUUCAGCAAGAAUCAGAUAUCAGUAACCAUACUAUAUUAAUAAUUAUUAUUACCAAAUAUAAUGUGAACAAUUUAUACCAUGAAGUGUCAAAUACCUACUCAUAUAAGUCUACCUGUGGAAUUAACUAAGUACAAUUAAUAUAAUACCCUGUAAUUACUCUGUUAAAUUAAUACCCUCGGAUAGCGCUAUGUUCAGGUGUACAAUGUGGGUAACAGGAAGGACUUAGAUCUGAACAAAGUGGUAGGUAUAGACACAGUAGAGGAUAUAAAAUGUAACAGGUUAUGUUGCUACUGUUACCGAUUUAUCUCUGUUCUUGCUUACGGUCUCGUGGUGGGUGUUACUGUGGUGGUGACUCUGGUUAUAACUAAAUGCUGGUUGCUAGCUACUAGGUACUAUGUCUGAGUGUUGAACAGUCACUAGUCCCAAGGUGUGUCCUCAAGAAGUUGGCCUACCAAGGAGAGAAAAUACACUGUCAGUAAGGACUAUACGAGACAGUAGAAAUACGAGAGGCUAUAAGCCUAAUAAUAGCUUUAAAGAUAUUUACCUGAGGUAUUAUGUGGCCAACAGAGAGGGGUUGUUGAGGUUAUAUCUCGUAACUAACUACAAUUUCUACCGGCACUGCAAAAUAUACAGCCCCAAAUCCGUCACUGGCAAAAACUCUUCCAGACGAUAAGUUUUCAUAAACUUGGGCCGUAUUUUCUCACCGAUGGAAAAAGGAUUAGCAAACUUUCACCCUUUGCAAUCCGACCUCGUUCCAAAACAAUCGAAGAUAGACCGGAUGUCAUCCGUAUUUGCUUAAUGUCAUUCGAUCUGAGUUCCAACUGAGAUGAACCAUUCAAGCACGGAACCACUGAUUGAUUCAGUUACCUGACAAGAACCUAUGAACAACCUGUGAAUGAGAGAAAAAAACCAACUAUUUCAUAGGAACUACCAUAGGCGUAACCAGGGAGUUUUAAAAUAUUUAAAUAUCUUUCAGUUUAACAUAUAUAAAUGAAUUGUGAAGGUUUAAAAAAACGUAACAAGCUGCAAAACUGAAUGAACAAAAUAACGGAAACAAGUAGAACAUAAUGAGAAUUGAACGUGUCUCACAAUACAACUACUUGGGAACUAUAAUCAAUGAGUCGUGGGACAAUACCCAAGAGAUUAAAUGUCGCAUAAGAAAGGCCAAAAGUGCAUUCUUGACUAUGAACUCUGUGUUCAAGAGCUAUGACCUUACCAUAGAAACAAAAAUAAAGAGUAGAAACGUGGACAUUGAAGGCGGAAGCUUUAUCAAAACUUUAGGUUUUUGAGCUAUUGUUGUACAGAGAGAUCCUGAAGAUACCAUGGACAGACAAAGUCACGAAUGAAGAAGUGCUACGGAGGAUGAACACAACCGCAGGUUUGGUCAACAUCGUGAAGGGCCGUAGGCUGCAGUACUUGGGAUAUAUAAUAAUGAGAAAUCAAGGUAGAUAAGACCUACUUCAAUUCGUUUUGCCAGAUAAAAUUGAAAGGCAAAAAGACCUCAGGACGAAGAAGAAUAUCCUGGCUUGCUAACCUGAGGGCAUGGUAUAGAAAGACCUCAGCACAACUAUUCCGUAUAGCAACCAACAAAAUCAUCAUAGCCAGAAUGAUCGCUAACGUUCGGAACGGACAGGCACCCUAAGAAGAACAACUGACCACCAGCCCCUAGCCGAGUCGGAAGGGUUAGAGUGGUACGUACCUAUUCUGUAUCAGCUUCUGACUUCCUUUGAACCGUGAGGGUUCGCUUCUAGGCCAAUGAUAGUAACUCAAAAUUUAGUUUUAUGGAAAUAUCGCUAUAUAUUUCACGAUGCGUUAAACCUCGUUUUUGGUUUUAUCUUUUUCUAUUAUAUAUUUUCUAUUUUUCUUGGCGCGCCACACCACGUUCUAUAGGAUCCCGACUUAUCAUUGAUAAGUCGUAAUUACCUCUUAUCCUGACAACAAGGCCAAUUUUUGCUACAUUCAUGUUGUUAGUAUUUUGUUUCCAGGAUCACACUGGGAAUCAAAGACCAUGUAGAUGAAUCUUGGCAGAAUUUUGCUGGUUAUUGCCUUAAGUCAGCUUAAGUUUUAACGUAGAGUUUAAACAAGGCUUAACACCAAGUAGUAUAUUUAAUCAAAAAGUACCCAAACACUUAUUUCAUAGUCAUUUUCAAAAAAUUUAAUGUGUAACGUUCUUUUUCGCAUGAAGUUGUAGACUUCGUUUCGUAGGUUGUAAAAAUAUUAAUAUAAUGUCAAAAAGUUAUUACGUAUUAUGCCUAUAGCUGUCAUUACAAUCAAACUUUUUCAUACUUUUAGGAAAAAGUGCAAAAUUGGGUUCACACUCACCAAAAAAUAAGCUUAAUAUUGCUAAGAAUACUUUCAUCAUUUAAAUUUUUGUCAAAUGUCAAAUGUCAGAUGUCAAAUGGUUUGUUACAAACGUCAUUGCGUGUCAUUAAGUAGAUUUAAGACUAGUAGCUUAGUCUACAGAACAUUUUAGACGGAAAAAACCUGUACAAUAAUUCAGUCGUUCGGAAGAAAAGUGACGCAAUUCAAAAAAUGCAUAAUUCCAGUUUUCUUGUUAAAUUGACUACAAAAAUUCUAUACUUUUACCAGGAAAAGUGUCACAUAGAUGUUUACUUCCAACUUCGUAAAAUGGCGGUAGUGUCAUUGGUGAGAGUUCCACAUAUGGAACACUGACACUUUUGAGUUAUGCUCUGGCGUUCAACGUAAACGUGUCGUUAUUUAUUACUAAAACCGUUGUAUUUUAAGAAGUAUCCUUGGUAUUUGUUAUUAAUGUUGAAAAAAGUGACCAAUAUUUUAAAAGAAAAGUGUCAUAAAUCAAAAUGUUUAUGAUUUUUCCUUUGUUAUAUCAGAUAUUGUUCGCCCGCUAUAACUUUUCCCAUGCGUCACGAUUCAUAUUCAAACAAAUUAAGUCAAAAUAUAAAGUAAAACGUACGUCGAUGUGUGUAGUAAAUAUUAUACAGUAUACAAAAUGUAUAUACACAUCGACGUUCGUUUCACUCUAUGUUUUGACUUAAUUUGUUUGAAAAUGAAUCGUGAAGCAUGAGAAAAGUUAUAGCGGACGAACAAUAUCAUAGUUUUUUCGCUUUGCUUCUUACACAAUUAGAAACAUUCACUUAUCCCUUAGCUUUUAAUUUUUAAAUGUUAGCAGUUGCCGUUUAAUUAAACUUACAGUUAAAUUAAGAUCUAAAAAAUCCAUUUUUGUUUCUUCUGAAAAAAAUUGUUUUUGAGCUGUGACACUUUUGUUCCGGAUGAGCGAAUUGUUCCAAAAACUUUUCAUUCUUUAAAAAUGAGUUCCCAAAUAAGAAUGAUUUGAUAUAUUUGUAUGAAUUUCCGAAUAUUGUAUUUUUAUGGUUAUAUAGUUUUUAAUGGAUAAGCACUAUAAUUUGUAGGAAACUAUACUUCUGGAAAAAAAAUUAGACACUUGAAUUUUG
RNA transcript from Diabrotica virgifera virgifera (western corn rootworm), 9498 nucleotides. It is a transcript of the gene named G-protein coupled receptor 52, with no coding region annotated. The record is from RefSeq and is a predicted model, not a curated record. NCBI's taxonomy places the organism in Eukaryota, Metazoa, Arthropoda, Insecta, Coleoptera, Chrysomelidae. The transcript is spliced from 6 exons.